This is a long non-coding RNA of Dicentrarchus labrax (European seabass), 2533 nucleotides long. RefSeq lists it as uncharacterized. The transcript is spliced from 3 exons. The record is from RefSeq and is a predicted model, not a curated record. Lineage: Eukaryota; Metazoa; Chordata; Actinopteri; Moronidae.
GUUUACUAGAUUUUUCUUCAACUUUCAACCACAUCCCAUGGUCAUCCCCAGUGGAUGGAGCUGGAAGUCAGUUGCUCAGUAGAAUUGAGGUAACUGAGCCACUGAGACACCACAUGACAUGUGGUUGAAAGGUCUUGAAAAAGCAAAUGCACGGACAGUGUUCUUCCUCCAUCUGUUCUAUUGUCUCAGUGUUCUCUGGGAUGAGGAGCGGAUGCACCACCAAAGGAGAUGCAGGAAAUACUCUUGGCCCAUAACAACACAGCCAACAACUUCUUCUAGGCUGUUACACAGUGGCUUCAGACACAAAUGCAGCUCAAGACUAUGUGACUACACGGUAGCGUGCUCGAUGUGGUGGAACAUUCGCAGAGUUAUACAAGGCCCAUCAGGAACAGGAAGGUCUUACGGGUGUCGAUGUCAAGGUCUUUGUCGUCUUUAACAUGACUCCACACAAACAGCAGCAGCCCUGCUCAAGACGGCCUGUCAGACGCACUCCAGAAAUAGACAUUCUGGUCGAGCAUUAAAAUUUACAAGGUAAAGCUAUAUAUUUUUAAUCAUUCUUCACGAACGGAUAAAAAUAAAAGCGAGUCUUGUAAAGGUGGUAGAGGUAUAUGAUGCUAAAUAAGGAGAGGUGUGUGUAAAUAUGGAAGGAGUUUUAUGUUGGUGUGUAUAACAGUAUAAAUGUGUGCUUUUGUGGGAUAAUAUUAUAAAAAGGGAUGGAUGUUGUUGACCCACAGCGUUUCACUGCUGCACCACAGUUGUAAAAAAGUCUUGUGCCAUAUUCACAUUAAUUCUGUCAGGCGUACGGGGGGAAAAGCAGUGAAUUCUUGUGGUAUAUAUUAAACAACAAACCUAUAGUUAAGAAGAUCCCAAUUAAACCUGUUAACAUCAUUAGAAUUUAUGACAAAGUUCAAAAGGAAAUCGCUUCCCAAGCAAUUUAAGGUUUGUCAGAAUUUGCCUUCAGGCUCCCAAAACCUCUAAAUUGCUUCACUCUCAAAUAUUCGAGAGAAAAGAAUCCAAGAUCUCAUUAGAGAAACGCAAGUGGUUUUUGGGAAGUGCUGAGCAGCCCAGUUUGGGGCUUUUCAGCUAAAACCAUUUAAACAUUUUAAUCAAUUUCUUUAUGUUGCUCCCCUUUCAUGUGUCAUCAUGUAAUAUAAUUCUUUCUUAAAGUUAAUGUUCCUGAGAAGUGGAAAUGAGUUUUCAGUCCUUACUGUACUGCGAACUGUAUUAUAGUGUAAGGGUGAGAAGUGUGUGUUUUCUUUUUUUUAAUAUGUACACUGCUAGACACACAGAAGCAAUUAAGGAGCAGUAAACACUCAACCAACAUACACAAUAAUUUUUUUGUAAAGUAUUCCCACUGUAAACCUCAUAUUACAUCAUGGAAUAACUAUUCAAACAAUAAAAAGAGAAAAAAUAUAAACAAGAUGUAAAACCUCAUUUGGUGCUUUUCCAAAAUCAAGUAUUAACAGAUCUGAAUAUUUCCUACAUGUUGCUAGAGGUAACAAUGUUUACACACAGCCGGCGCCCAUGGUGAUGUAAACCUUGACCGCGAGGGGCUCAGCGACCCAAUGAAGGCCCUGGGGUUGUGACACGAAAUACUUUUGCUAUUAUUACCCUGUGCAGUCACUCAGUAAGCUAAAAAAGACAUCUAAGCCCACUUUCAACAGCAAGCUUGGACAAAAUCUCGGUCGAGAAUAGAUUCUAAUGUUUCCUUGAAGUGAAAGAAGUUCAAGAACAACAGCCAGCAGCUGUCAUAUUAUAUACUGACCAUUAGUGCGUGCUCGUUUUGUCUCACAGUCCCAAAGGAAAGGGCAUGUCGGGAUAGCAGAGAGUUGCAGGUACUAUGUUACAUAAUAGCAUAUUUCCUUCCAAACCUCUUUCCAUUCAAGAGUAGCCAGAGCCACUAAGACAGACUUUGAGCUGAAUGUAGGGUAGCCUACUGCUACUCUGGCUAUCCUGUCUAAUGUUUUUCUACCAGUUGCCACUUUUCUGCCCCUCUCUGAACGACACACAGGCUGUCCAGCUCCAAAUUCUCCAUAGAAAGCGGGAAAAAAUCUUACUACACAAACAGCACAGGUCUGAACAUGGAAGUUACUUUGUUGCUCUUGCAGAAUUCAUUGGCAUCUUCACCCUUCAUCAUUAUCAAAAUAAUGUAACUCUCUUCUGUUUCCCCUUAUGGCUGAUGAUAGAUGCUUAUUAUUUUCAUGGUCAUCACAGUCUCUGUACUCUAACCGUGGCUUACAUCCCAAAACAGAUCCCCAGAUCAAAAACAAAUUAACUUGUGCACAAACUAAAACAGAGGCAGUAACACAAAGCAGUUUUUGUUCUCCACUGGACCAUGCAUCACUAUGAAGGACAUAUAAUUGACACUUGGUGGGACAAAAGUCAAGCCUCUCCCUCCAGAGCUCUGGGUGCAUGAGUCACUCAUGUCAACUGUCAUAAAAGACAUUUAAACCACUGGCAGCAGUGUACCAGUACGUCCGGUAAUAAUGUGCUGUGCUUUUGGUGUCAAGGGCAAUUUCAAGGCCUGCAGCUC